This is a non-coding RNA of Podarcis lilfordi (Lilford's wall lizard), 133 nucleotides long. NCBI's taxonomy places the organism in Eukaryota, Metazoa, Chordata, Lepidosauria, Squamata, Lacertidae. The record is from the annotation of a GenBank genome assembly.
UGGCCCGUCCCGGGUGUCAUCCUUGAGGGGGUUGACAAAAUGGCACACUGCGGGGAUCGGCACUUACCGGGAAUUCUGGCCGCACUGCAGGUGUGCCAUUUUGUCAACCCCCUCAAGGAUGACACCUGGGGCA